AAGCACCUGAAUAUCCAUCAAAUGAUGAAUAGAUAAAUGAAAUGUGGUGUAUCUAUAAAAUAAAAUGUUAUUCAACCACAAAAAGAAGUGAAGUACCGAUACAUGUUACAUAAGGGAUGAACCUUAAAAACAUGAUAAAUGGAAGAGCCACCUGCCUCAGCGUGCUCCUUCAUCACUCUGCUGGGCUCAGUCUCUGACUCGAAUUUUUUUCCUGAAUCAACCUUUCAAGAGAUGCAUCCAGUGUCUGAAGGAAUUAUGAAGAGGCAGUUGCCAAAAAGCCGAAAUUUGAGAAGAAGAUCUGGAGGUACAAGUUUCAUGCCAUAAAUACACUUAACUCCACUUAACUCUCC
This 350-nucleotide long non-coding RNA is filed under the name Mustela putorius furo (domestic ferret). Its description in RNAcentral is "lncRNA (ENSMPUG00000026659.1)". Lineage: Eukaryota; Metazoa; Chordata; Mammalia; Carnivora; Mustelidae. The record is from RNAcentral.